CGAACUCUUCGGAGUUAGUGGCAGACGGGUGAGUAACGCGUGGGAACCUACCUUUAGGUACGGAACAACAGUUGGAAACGACUGCUAAUACCGUAUGAGCCCUAUGGGGGAAAGAUUUAUCGCCUAAGGAUGGGCCCGCGUUGGAUUAGCUAGUUGGUGGGGUAAAGGCCUACCAAGGCGACGAUCCAUAGCUGGUCUGAGAGGAUGAUCAGCCACACUGGGACUGAGACACGGCCCAGACUCCUACGGGAGGCAGCAGUGGGGAAUAUUGGACAAUGGGCGCAAGCCUGAUCCAGCCAUGCCGCGUGAGUGAAGAAGGCCUUCGGGUUGUAAAGCUCUUUCAGACGUGAAGAUGAUGACGGUAACGUCAGAAGAAGCCCCGGCUAACUUCGUGCCAGCAGCCGCGGUAAUACGAAGGGGGCAAGCGUUGUUCGGAAUUACUGGGCGUAAAGCGCGCGUAGGCGGCGUCGUCAGUCAGAGGUGAAAUCCCAGGGCUCAACCUUGGAAUUGCCUUUGAUACUGCGAUGCUUGAGUUCGAGAGAGGGUGGCGGAAUACCCAGUGUAGAGGUGAAAUUCGUAGAUAUUGGGUAGAACACCAGUGGCGAAGGCGGCCACCUG
Molecule: ribosomal RNA, 618 nt
Filed under: uncultured bacterium
Lineage: Bacteria
Description: bacterial SSU rRNA
Rfam family: Bacterial small subunit ribosomal RNA
Source: RNAcentral